This is a long non-coding RNA of Drosophila virilis, 961 nucleotides long. RefSeq lists it as uncharacterized. The record is from RefSeq and is a predicted model, not a curated record. NCBI's taxonomy places the organism in Eukaryota, Metazoa, Arthropoda, Insecta, Diptera, Drosophilidae.
UAAAUUUCAAUCUUUUUGAGAGCUUUAUAAAUCCGAAUGUAUAUUUAGUUUAAAAAUAAAUUCAGGCCAGCAGCUCUAGAAUAUUAUCUACCCCCAUGCCCCAUACUCAUUCGGUGCGGUAGCUGCUGCGAAUUCGGUGCGUUGUCCUGGCGUCUGGCUGCCGACGAUGCCAAUGCCCAUCUACCACGUGUAUAACUUAUUUAUGAGGCUUUUACAUACAACUACAAAGAGAUACGAGAGACAGAGAGCCCAAAGGCUGAGCCUGGUAUAUUUGGUGGCUGUGACUCUGGCCAAACUGGUGAACAUAAAAGGCAAAGGCAAACGGCAAUGGCAGUUGAAUCAGUCGCAGCAUGACCAAAAUAUUUGCAAAUGGACUCAACAACUUGGCCCGAAACAUGUCCUUUGUGUGCGCUUACACAUGUGAGUUGAAUGGGCUGACUGAGCUGAAUGAGUUGCGUGAGUGUGUUGAGGUUGAGUGCAGAGUAGGGUCUGGUCACUGAAAGCAUAGUUUUGGCAAUUUCUUUUCUUGUUCGUGGGUACACAGAAUAAUUGCGUAUUUCUAUGUGUGUACGUAUGAGUGGGUAUGGCAUAUCGGGGCGACAGACUGUCAUCCUUUUUCUGCCACUGCCAGAGUCUUGUCUUGUGGCCAUGAAAUGGCAAUGGCAAUGCCAGCCAUUAAAAAUGUAGAGUAGGCGGCUACGUUUUUUUUUUUUUUUACGGGUAAGCGUUGUGUAAAUUUGCAAACUCCAUGACAUAAGCAUAAAUUCUUCGGCCCGCUCGCCCUUUUCACACUCUGGGCUUAAGGCGAAGCUGUCAGCCACAAUAGCUGGCCAAGAAAGUUGUGUCUUCUAAGUGCACCGCCCGUUCUGUCUAAGUGCACCGCCCAUUUAAACCUCAAGCAUCUAUUGUAAAUUAUUUUUUCGCCGUAAAGGAGCUUAAAUAAAUUCGUAAUUAUUUUAAA